This 253-nucleotide ribosomal RNA is filed under the name uncultured bacterium. RNAcentral's name for it is "partial 16S ribosomal RNA". It matches the Rfam family "Bacterial small subunit ribosomal RNA", at positions 524 to 776 of the family's 1533-position model. The record is from RNAcentral.
CACGUAGGGUGCAAGCGUUGUCCGGAAUUAUUGGGCGUAAAGAGCUCGUAGGCGGUCUGUCGCGUCUGCUGUGAAAACUCAGGGCUUAACCCCAAGCCUGCUUCCGAUACGGGCGGACUAGAGGUAGGCAGGGGAGAACGGAAUUCCUGGUGUAGCGGUGAAAUGCGCAGAUAUCAGGAGGAACACCGGUGGCGAAGGCGGUUCUCUGGGCCUUACCUGACGCUGAGGAGCGAAAGCGUGGGGAGCAAACAGG